GACGAACGCUGGCGGCGCGCCUAACACAUGCAAGUCGAACGAGCGAGCGAGAGCUUGCUUUCUCGAGCGAGUGGCGCACGGGUGAGUAACGCGUGAGGAACCUGCCUCAAAGAGGGGGACAACAGUUGGAAACGACUGCUAAUACCGCAUAAGCCCACGGCUCGGGAUCGAGCAGGGGGAAAAGGAGCCAUCCGCUGUGAGAUGGCCACGCGUCCGAUUAGCUAGAUGGAGUGGUAACGGCCCACCAAGGCGACGAUCGGUAGCCGGACCGAGAGGGUGAACCGCCACAUUUGGGCUGGGCCGCGGCCCGGACUCCUACGGGAGGCAGCAGUGGGUGAUAUUGCACCAUGGGGGAAACCCUGAUGCAGCGCCGCCGCUUGGAGGAUGAAGGUCUUCGGAUUGUAAACUCCUGUUGUCUGUGAAGAUAAUGACGGUACCCAACAAGGAAGUGACGGCUAACUACGUG
This 466-nucleotide ribosomal RNA is filed under the name uncultured bacterium. Its description in RNAcentral is "partial 16S ribosomal RNA". It matches the Rfam family "Bacterial small subunit ribosomal RNA", at positions 28 to 507 of the family's 1533-position model. The record is from RNAcentral.